AAAUUGCGACUAUCCUCACCAAGUUGGCAAAG
RNAcentral lists this non-coding RNA (32 nucleotides) under Geobacter sulfurreducens PCA. The record is from RNAcentral. Lineage: Bacteria; Pseudomonadati; Thermodesulfobacteriota; Desulfuromonadia; Geobacterales; Geobacteraceae.